RNAcentral lists this transfer RNA (71 nucleotides) under Solanum tuberosum (potato). It matches the Rfam family "tRNA". Rfam says of the family: Transfer RNA (tRNA) molecules are approximately 80 nucleotides in length. Their secondary structure includes four short double-helical elements and three loops (D, anti-codon, and T loops). Lineage: Eukaryota; Viridiplantae; Streptophyta; Magnoliopsida; Solanales; Solanaceae. The record is from Rfam by way of RNAcentral.
GCACCAGUGGUCUAGUGGUAGAAUAGUAACCUGCCAUGGUGUAAAUUCAGGUUCAAUUCCCGACUGGUGCA